UACGAAGGGGGCUAGCGUUGCUCGGAAUUACUGGGCGUAAAGCGCACGUAGGCGGUCUUUUAAGUCGGGGGUGAAAUCCUGGAGCUCAACUCCAUAACUGCCUUCGAUACUGGAAGACUUGAGUCCGGGAGAGGUGAGUGGAACUGCGAGUGUAGAGGUGAAAUUCGUAGAUAUUCGCAAGAACACCAGUGGCGAAGGCGGCUCACUGGCCCGGUACUGACGCUGAGGUGCGAAAGCGUGGGGAGCAAACAGG
This 253-nucleotide ribosomal RNA is filed under the name uncultured bacterium. RNAcentral describes it as "partial 16S ribosomal RNA". It matches the Rfam family "Bacterial small subunit ribosomal RNA", at positions 524 to 776 of the family's 1533-position model. The record is from RNAcentral.